This 420-nucleotide unclassified non-coding RNA is filed under the name Hevea brasiliensis (rubber tree). The record is from RNAcentral. Lineage: Eukaryota; Viridiplantae; Streptophyta; Magnoliopsida; Malpighiales; Euphorbiaceae.
UACAUUUGAACUUUGAUUGUUCUAUCAUUGGUCAUGUAUCUUCUCGUCUCAAUUCUGCAUCUUCGCUAGCCUGGAAUCUUCGCCCGGUUGAUUUUGAUUACUGCAUCUUCUCAGUCCUCGAGUCGUUCGCAUGUGCCUCACCUUAAACUUGUCGCUCAACCCUCCUCCCUCAAUCCUCAAUCUCAACAUCAAACUGCCUGCACUUCCGGUUCUUGAUAUGAAAUAUCUGUUGCUCUUCCAAUUUUGUUUCCUUGAGAGGUAAAAGAAAUUAUGUUGUGUGAUGCUGUUCUUGUAUUUUUCCUGCAGAUAUAGAUCUGGAAGAGGAGAGAGAACACUAAUUGGGUUGGCUUGUACAACUCUUCGUAGUUAGAACUGAGUACAAUAUAGAAUUGACAGGGUACUUGACUGUGGAGGUUUAAG